GCUCUUCUUUCUCAGGAUCAUAAAUCUUGAAGAAUAGCAUAAUAUCGUCUUUAGUCUUGUCAGGUGGAGGGAUGUGUCUCAAGUCCAGUCCAAGCUCCACUUCCAAGAACAAUUUUAGCUCUGCAUUCUGAACCUUACUUGACGCUUCCCUCAACUGUCCAACAGUUUGAGCUUCUUCGAGAUGUGUUAAUGGCCGAUUUGGACGAUAUGUAUGAUUCUGGCGCUUUGCCCAUAGCCAAAAACGUUGAGAUUGCACUGGUACACCAAAUUCUUUGGCAACUUCCUCCUUAAAAAUGCUAAAAAGUGUCUGCUUCUGAAUGCGAAAACUCCUAACUUUGUCAUAAUCCACUAAAUCAAAAUGUAUGUCCUUCCCAAUCUGCUGUCUGAGGUCUUCAUCACGAGAAACCUUUAUAAUUGUGUAAAGGUGUGCCUCUGCUUUCUCCUUCUUCUUCUGCUCUUUCUCUUCUUGUUCUCUCUUUAACCUUGCCCUGAGGUGCUCAGCAAUGUCCUUCUCGUCAACAUUACACAUUAUUUUCUCUUUGUCACAUUCCCGAAUAUAGACCAGCAUGUAAGCAUUUGAAUACUUAGUAAAUUUGAAGGGAGUAUUAUUAAAUCCAGGAUUUGUUUGUGGCAACUCUUCUUCUCCUCCAUACUGCUCUUCUAGAGCUCUUUUCACAUCUUCUUUAGUCACACGUUCAUCAUCAAAUUUAUACCAUUGAUCUGAAAGAGUUGGCCUUAUGAAAGCAUAAUAGUGCCCACCAUGCACACCACCACUGUGGACUAAUACACUGUGAAGUGUGUAAAGGUUUCUGACACUUCCAUCUGCCUCAGGCGACAAGUAUUUACCAUUCUCUCUAUCUAGAUCGAGUUGCAGAGGGAACUCAUACCUGUCAUUUAUCUUUACCAUAGUGUCCCGUGAAAAAUCAUAUUCAAAGCGCUUUAACUGAAGCUGCAGGACAGGGGGGAAAUCCAUGAAUAAGACACCCUUCUUAGCAUCCUG
Molecule: unclassified non-coding RNA, 1000 nt
Filed under: Hevea brasiliensis (rubber tree)
Lineage: Eukaryota; Viridiplantae; Streptophyta; Magnoliopsida; Malpighiales; Euphorbiaceae
Source: RNAcentral